CCUACGGGAGGCAGCAGUGGGGAAUAUUGCACAAUGGGCGGAAGCCUGAUGCAGCGACGCCGCGUGAGGGACGAAGGCCUUCGGGUUGUAAACCUCUUUCAGCAGGGACGAAGCGUGAGUGACGGUACCUGCAGAAGAAGCACCGGCUAACUACGUGCCAGCAGCCGCGGUAAUACGUAGGGUGCGAGCGUUGUCCGGAAUUACUGGGCGUAAAGAGUUCGUAGGCGGUUUGUCGCGUCGUUUGUGAAAACCCGGGGCUCAACUUCGGGCUUGCAGGCGAUACGGGCAGACUUGAGUGUUUCAGGGGAGACUGGAAUUCCUGGUGUAGCGGUGAAAUGCGCAGAUAUCAGGAGGAACACCGGUGGCGAAGGCGGGUCUCUGGGAAACAACUGACGCUGAGGAACGAAAGCGUGGGUAGCAAACAGGAUUAGAUACCCUGGUAGUCCACGCCGUAAACGGUGGGCGCUAGGUGUGGGUUCCUUCCAACGGGGACGUCUGUGUCGUACGUCGUACGACAUAGUACGCCCGCCCGUCGGGUACGGUACGGCCGGCCGACGGACGUAACGUACGAAACGAAGUAGACGGCGNGUAAGACGUGCGACGACGACGACGAGGGAGGAGG
RNAcentral lists this ribosomal RNA (622 nucleotides) under uncultured bacterium. RNAcentral describes it as "bacterial SSU rRNA". The stretch from base 1 to 530 matches the Rfam family "Bacterial small subunit ribosomal RNA", at positions 338 to 873 of the family's 1533-position model. The record is from RNAcentral.